RNAcentral lists this ribosomal RNA (119 nucleotides) under Nicotiana sylvestris (wood tobacco). Lineage: Eukaryota; Viridiplantae; Streptophyta; Magnoliopsida; Solanales; Solanaceae. The record is from RNAcentral. RNAcentral also lists the same sequence under 1 other name.
AGUUGCGAUCUUACCAGCACUAACGCACAAGAUCCCAUCAGAACUCUGAAGUUAAGCGUGCUUGGGCGAGAGUAGUACUAGGGUAGGUGAGCCCCUGGGAAGUCCUCGCAUUGCAUCCC